This 301-nucleotide ribosomal RNA is filed under the name uncultured bacterium. RNAcentral's name for it is "partial 16S ribosomal RNA". It matches the Rfam family "Bacterial small subunit ribosomal RNA", at positions 509 to 807 of the family's 1533-position model. The record is from RNAcentral.
CAGUCGCCACGGGAAUACGGAGGGCGCGAGCGUUACCCGGAUUUACUGGGCGUAAAGGGCGUGUAGGCGGCCUGGGGCGUCCCAUGUGAAAGGCCACGGCUCAACCGUGGAGGAGCGUGGGAUACGCUCUGGCUAGAGGGUGGGAGAGGGUGGUGGAAUUCCCGGAGUAGCGGUGAAAUGCGCAGAUACCGGGAGGAACGCCGAUGGCGAAGGCAGCCACCUGGUCCACUUCUGACGCUGAGGCGCGAAAGCGUGGGGAGCAAACCGGAUUAGAUACCCGCGUAGUCCCUGUCUCUUAUAC